CAGCCGCCGCGGUAAUACAGAGGGUGCAAGCGUUAAUCGGAAUUACUGGGCGUAAAGCGCGCGUAGGUGGUUUGUUAAGUUGGAUGUGAAAGCCCCGGGCUCAACCUGGGAACUGCAUCCAAAACUGGCAAGCUAGAGUACGGUAGAGGGUGGUGGAAUUUCCUGUGUAGCGGUGAAAUGCGUAGAUAUAGGAAGGAACACCAGUGGCGAAGGCGACCACCUGGACUGAUACUGACACUGAGGUGCGAAAGCGUGGGGAGCAAACAGGAUUAGAUACCCCGGUAGUCUCUGUCUCUUAUAC
RNAcentral lists this ribosomal RNA (301 nucleotides) under uncultured bacterium. Its description in RNAcentral is "partial 16S ribosomal RNA". It matches the Rfam family "Bacterial small subunit ribosomal RNA", at positions 509 to 807 of the family's 1533-position model. The record is from RNAcentral.